CCUACGGGCGGCAGCAGUGAGGAAUAUUGGUCAAUGGGCACGAGCCUGAACCAGCCAAGUCGCGUGAGGGAAGACGGUCCUAUGGAUUGUAAACCUCUUUUGUCGGGGAGCAAAAGACGCCACGCGUGGCGUUCUGAGAGUACCCGAAGAAAAAGCAUCGGCUAACUCCGUGCCAGCAGCCGCGGUAAUACGGCGGAUGCGAGCGUUAUCCGGAUGUAGUGGGUUUAAAGGGUGCGCAGGCGGAAGAUCAAGUCAGCGGUAAAAUUGAGCGGCUCAACCUCGUCGAGCCGUUGAAACUGGUUUUCUUGAGUGCGUGAGAAGUAUGCGGCAUGCGUGGUGUCGC
RNAcentral lists this ribosomal RNA (343 nucleotides) under uncultured bacterium. RNAcentral's name for it is "partial 16S ribosomal RNA". It matches the Rfam family "Bacterial small subunit ribosomal RNA", at positions 338 to 679 of the family's 1533-position model. The record is from RNAcentral.